ACACUAACUAAGCUUACACAAUCCCACAUUAUUUGAUCAAUUUUGUCUCGCUCAAAUCAUAUUUUUCUUCAACACUAAAUAUCUCUUUAUUAUCCGUUCCUUUCUCAAGGACAGAAAGCCUGAAAAGUUGGUAGUUCAGAUCUCAGUUCAGAGUUCAACUGCCUUAUAUUUUUACAUUACAUGGAGAUACUAAUGAAAUGGAAGAAAGAUUGAAUUUUUAUGUCCAGUAACUUUCAGAAGGCCUCAGUAUUUUGGAUCGCUCUAGAGACAAAUAAAAUAAAAUAAAAUAAAAACUCUGGUAACG
RNAcentral lists this long non-coding RNA (304 nucleotides) under Ananas comosus (pineapple). RNAcentral's name for it is "long non-coding RNA (ACOM_LNC006404)". The record is from RNAcentral. Lineage: Eukaryota; Viridiplantae; Streptophyta; Magnoliopsida; Poales; Bromeliaceae.